UUUUUUUCCCCUGUUCUCCUGUGCAGUAUAUAUCUUAUAAUUCCCUAGCCAAUUCCUCCUCUGCACUUUCUUCGGCAUCUCUUGGCUGUUGAGGAGUGGGUUACCCAUUCCUGUUGUUUCACUUGCAACUCAGGGUGCUAUAUAUUGGCUUCCACCUUGUUUAUCUGUAUACUAAGUCAGUCUCUCCAUUUGUCCAAGAGCUGUAGUAUCUCAGGGACUCCAAAGAAAUUCUGUUACCUGAAGAUAAUGGGUUUGAUAGAGAAAUCUUUCUCUUGUAGAACUGAGUUGAGAAAACAGCCUUCAUUUGAAUUUUAAAGAUCUGUGGCCUCUUCACACUGGCUGAGGAUUUAUUUUUCUGCAUAAGAACAUUGUUUUCUCCCCCCUUUUUUUUUUCCUAUUCUCUUUCCCCCCCCCUCCACUACCUGUGUUUCUUGCUCCGGUGCACGGAGGAGGGCGUCACUUUUGCAAGCAAAGCAAGGUGACAUUCUGCAUGAUAGUAUCUUGCUGGGAUGUUUGAGGCUGAGGGUAGUGCCCAGCCUGCCACUGGUAAGCAGUCCGUGUAAGCUACAAGUAGGGAGUCUAGUUCUGUAUUCAUUUACAGCAGGAGUAACAGUUUCAUUGCUAUGUUAGAAAAUGCAAUGAGCUCGAAAACUUGCAUUUAAGAAUUACAGUGAACUUAGAAUGAUUGGCCCUGUUUCUAUAAGGCCAGUAUUAGCUCAUUAAUCACCUUUGUUUCAUUGCUCUGUCUUUAUGUGUGUGUAGCCUAUUCCACGUGCCAUUGCUGCAUGGAAAUUCGCUGAAGUACAGAACACUUGAACAGAUUCUGUGUACCUCUUGGGUGCUGAACUAGACUGCACUCUACAGCAUCUGCGACACCUUAGAGCCAGCAGAAUGUUUACAGUAUACUACUCUCAUGUGGCCUAUUUGAGAAUUGUUCCUUACUCCAGUUUCAUAACCAAACACCCUUUUUCUGACAUUUUAAGUACAUUGUAUUAUAUUGAUUGCAUGCCUACUUGUUUUUAGUAGAAAAUUAAAG
Molecule: long non-coding RNA, 1036 nt
Filed under: Strigops habroptila (Kakapo)
Lineage: Eukaryota; Metazoa; Chordata; Aves; Psittaciformes; Psittacidae
Description: lncRNA (ENSSHBG00005000861.1)
Source: RNAcentral